AGAAAAUCAAAAUAGGGUUUGGAAACCAGUUUCAAAUAAUUGUUGAUUUCACCGGAGAUAAUUGGGGAUUUUGCCGGAAUAAGCUAGUGUACCGGCGGUUACCUGAUUCCGGUUGCUUACGGUGAGGUGUUUUGCUUUGGUCUUCCAAGCUCCGACUGUCAAAAUGGAAGAGUUGAAGCACAAGUCGAAGAGAGAGGACGAGUCGAAGAAGCGGCACCGUGAUAAGGAGGAUCGAGAUCGAGAGAAGAGGGACAGAGAGCAUCAUCAUCGUGAUAAGAAGGAUCGAGAGAGAGAGAAAAGCAGUCGGUAUGAAAGGGAGAAAAGUGCUGAUAGAGAUAGAGAUAGAGAUAGAGCAAAGCACAAGGAUAGGCACAGUAGAGGAGAUAAGGAGCGUGAAAAGAGCAGCAAGGUUCGUGAUGAUGAUGAAAGACCUAGAGAUAAAGUUAAAGAGCGAGAAAAGGAUAAGGAAGACCGUGAAGAACGAGAGAGGGAGAAAGAGAGGGAAAGGGAGAAGGAGAGG
This 520-nucleotide unclassified non-coding RNA is filed under the name Hevea brasiliensis (rubber tree). The record is from RNAcentral. Lineage: Eukaryota; Viridiplantae; Streptophyta; Magnoliopsida; Malpighiales; Euphorbiaceae.